Molecule: ribosomal RNA, 484 nt
Filed under: uncultured bacterium
Lineage: Bacteria
Description: partial 16S ribosomal RNA
Rfam family: Bacterial small subunit ribosomal RNA
Source: RNAcentral
AGUGAACGCUGGCGGUAGGCCUAACACAUGCAAGUCGAGCGGAAGCACAGUAAUUGCUUCCUCUUUCGGGGGCCGACGGGCGAACGGUGCAUAAAAACCUGGGUGUCUAUUUUUUCUUGGGUGCUAACGCGGGCAAUAUUACCCCAUUACCCCUUAGGGCCUACGGGGGAAAUCAUGGGAUCUUCGGCUCUUGCAUGAUUGUAUGACGGAUUGGCUAGUUGGCUGGGUAAAGGGCUACCAAGGCGACGAUCCGUAGCUGGUCUGAGAGGAUGAUCAGUCACACUGGAACUGAGACACGGUCCAGACUCCUACGGGAGGCAGCAGUGGGGAAUAUUGGACAAUGGGCGAAAGCCUGAUCCAGCCAUACCGCGUGGGUGAAGAAGGCCUUCGGGUUGUAAAGCCCUUUUGUUGGGAAAGAAAAGCAGCAGGUUAAUACCCCGCUGUUCUGACGGUACCAAAAGAAUAAGCACCGGCUAACUUCGUG